UACGUAGGGGGCAAGCGUUAUCCGGAUUUACUGGGUGUAAAGGGGGCGCAGACGGCGAUGCAAGCCAGAAGUGAAAGCCCGGGGCCCAACCCCGGGACUGCUCUUGGAACUGCGUGGCUGGAGUGCAGGAGGGGCAGGCGGAAUUCCUGGUGUAGCGGUGAAAUGCGUAGAUAUCAGGAGGAACACCGGUGGCGAAGGCGGCCUGCUGGACUGCAACUGACGUUGAGGCCCGAAAGCGUGGGGAGCAAACAGG
This 253-nucleotide ribosomal RNA is filed under the name uncultured bacterium. RNAcentral describes it as "partial 16S ribosomal RNA". It matches the Rfam family "Bacterial small subunit ribosomal RNA", at positions 524 to 776 of the family's 1533-position model. The record is from RNAcentral.